RNAcentral lists this ribosomal RNA (349 nucleotides) under uncultured eukaryote. RNAcentral describes it as "SSU rRNA". It matches the Rfam family "Eukaryotic small subunit ribosomal RNA", at positions 594 to 945 of the family's 1831-position model. The record is from RNAcentral.
AUAGCGUAUACUAAAGUUGUUGCAGUUAAAAAGCUCGUAGUUGAAUUUCUGGUCUUGGACAUCGGUCUGCCUCGAACGAGGUACGUACCAGUUGUCUGAAUCCAUCCUCGGGGAAAACGUAUCUGUCAUUCAGUUGAUGGGUACGGGAUCCUCGUCAUUUAUUGUGAGCAAAAUAGAGUGUUCAAAGCAGGCUUAUGCCGUUGAAUACAUUAGCAUGGAAUAAUAAGAUAAGACCUUGGUCUAUUUUGUUGGUUUGUACUCCAAGGUAAUGAUUAAUAGGGAUAGUUGGGGGUAUUCGUAUUCAAUUGUCAGAGGUGAAAUUCUUGGAUUUAUGGAAGACGAACUACUG